This 253-nucleotide ribosomal RNA is filed under the name uncultured bacterium. Its description in RNAcentral is "partial 16S ribosomal RNA". It matches the Rfam family "Bacterial small subunit ribosomal RNA", at positions 524 to 776 of the family's 1533-position model. The record is from RNAcentral.
UACGUAGGGGGCAAGCGUUGUCCGGAAUCAUUGGGCGUAAAGCGCGUGUAUGCGGUUCGGUAAGUCUGCUGUGAAAGUCCAGGGCUCAACCCUGGGAUGCCGGUGGAUACUGUCGAACUAGAGUACGGAAGAGGCGAGUGGAAUUCCCGGUGUAGCGGUGAAAUGCGCAGAUAUUAGAAGGAACACCGGUGGCGAAGGCGACCAUCUGGACAGUAACUGACACUGAGGCGCGAAAGCGUGGGGAUCAAACAGG